CAGCCCCAAUUAAAUGUUUCCUUUAUAGGAGUUGCCUUGGUCAUGGUGUCUCUUUACAGCAAUGGAAACCCUAACAAAGACAGUCUCUUACCAUGCCCGUCUGCAUUUGAACGUGGUGUACAUGCCCACAGUCUACCAGACAAGUGUGAUUAGCAACUCAAGACAAUUGAAAAGCUCAACUCUUUCUCUGUUAUACCAGACAAAUUUGGGUGAAUUAAAUAAGGUUAACGUCAGGACUUUAUUAUAAGUACACCUCUUGUUUCAUUUUAUUAUUUAUUUAUUUAUUUAUUUAGCAUCUAUGUGCAUGUUUCAGUACAUAUACGGAAGUUGGAUACAACGUGCAGAAAUCGGUUCUCUCCUUCCACGUGUGUAGUCCCCAGGGAUGAGACUCAAGUUGUCAGACUAGGAGACUGCCCAUUGAGACAUCUUCAAAGCCCAACACGCUUAGAAGCCUGAUGCAUGGUGAACAGUGCCUUGGGGAACUAAAAGAGGCUCCAGGAAAAAAGGCAGAGGGCCUUUGACCUCAGGCAUAUUUCUUCCCUGGAUUGCUCCUGGACAUGAUUUUGUACCUCCCAUGGCAAACAUUUAUGUUCAAGAUGGAUGUUGGAAAGAUGCAUGCUGGGAACCAAACUCGCACCCUCUGCAAGAGCAGCAAGCACACGUAACCACUGAGCUAUGUCUCUCCAGCCCCUGGAGAAUGGCCAGCACAAAAGCGACUCAACUGGAUUUCAGAGAGAAACGUACGGCAGCAAAGCGUGGGUUUGCGAGAAGUGCACCCCAAAAGGCUUUGGAAGCGCGGGGCUGGCUGGCAUGACAACGACCCACCUUGGGAACCUAGCGAGCCAGGUGGAAAGAUUUCAGAGCUCCGGGUCAGAGAGUAUGCAAAGACGAGAACAGGUCUGUCCGCUGGUGCCCUGCCGGUGUAGCAUGGAUUGCUUUUUAAAUAUUUCACGCCACAGAUGUGUACCACGAAGGUCAUCCUCACCCAAUCUGGAUUAUUAAAAAUUUGCUUUGAA
Long non-coding RNA from Mastomys coucha (southern multimammate mouse), 1016 nucleotides. RefSeq lists it as uncharacterized. NCBI's taxonomy places the organism in Eukaryota, Metazoa, Chordata, Mammalia, Rodentia, Muridae. The record is from RefSeq and is a predicted model, not a curated record. The transcript has 4 exons.